UACGGAGGGUGCAAGCGUUAUCCGGAUUCACUGGGUUUAAAGGGUGCGUAGGAGGGCAGGGAAGUCCGUGGUGAAAUCCUAGAGCUUAACUCUAGAACUGCCGUGGAUACUCUCUGUCUUGAAUCCCGUGGAGAUGAGCGGAAUAUGUCAUGUAGCGGUGAAAUGCUUAGAUAUGACAUAGAACACCAAUUGCGAAGGCAGCUCGUUACACGAAGAUUGACUCUGAGGCACGAAAGCGUGGGGAGCGAACAGG
Molecule: ribosomal RNA, 253 nt
Filed under: uncultured bacterium
Lineage: Bacteria
Description: partial 16S ribosomal RNA
Rfam family: Bacterial small subunit ribosomal RNA
Source: RNAcentral